UGAAAAACGUUGAGAAGGAUUAGUAGGCUAGAUGAAUCGAUAGCGAGUGCAUGGUUGGUGGAAAUGCAUGAUUCAAAUAUCUGAACUCACCUUUUAGUUGUCAUACUGAAUAUAGUAAGUAUGACCGGUUCACCUCGUUAGCGGUAUGAGAAGAGAAUGAUUAUUCAUUCUAAUUAAUAGGUGGUACCACGAUAAAAUCGUCCUAUAG
This 208-nucleotide non-coding RNA is filed under the name Jeotgalibaca sp. Its description in RNAcentral is "T-box sequence". It matches the Rfam family "T-box leader". From Rfam's summary of the family: Uncharged tRNA acts as the effector for transcription antitermination of genes in the T-box leader family. T-boxes are found upstream of many aminoacyl-tRNA synthetase genes and some amino acid biosynthetic genes usually in Gram-positive bacteria. The record is from RNAcentral. Lineage: Bacteria; Bacillati; Bacillota; Bacilli; Lactobacillales; Carnobacteriaceae.